This 1152-nucleotide long non-coding RNA is filed under the name Chloebia gouldiae (Gouldian finch). Its description in RNAcentral is "Erythrura gouldiae (Gouldian finch) lncRNA (ENSEGOG00005000137.1)". The record is from RNAcentral. Lineage: Eukaryota; Metazoa; Chordata; Aves; Passeriformes; Passeridae.
GGCUCCUCCCGCCCAUCCCGGCCCAUCCCGGCCUAUCCCGGGGCUCCUCCCGCCCAUCCCGGCCUAUCCCGGCCCAUCCCGGGCCCGUCCCGCCCAUCCCGGCCUACCCCAGCGGCCCAGCCCGGCCUGUCCCGGGGCCCGUCCCGGCCUGCCCCGGCCGCUGCCCGGCGCUCGCAUGGCCCUGCCCGUCGUACACAGGUGCCUCCAACUCACUGAUGAAAAUGAGCAGUUAGUCAAGAAGGUGAAAAAACUACACAUAAAAAAUAAGGAUCUAGAAAGGAAUCUGGGUCAGAUCCAAGAACAACUGUAUCUGCAGCAGUUAAUGCAUGUCUGUGGCACAAGCAGAGAUGUUCAGGUUCAAACAGAAACACAUUUAUGGCAUAAGGGUGGCGACAGCAAGGAUCUGGUUCUAGAGAGUGACAGUGUCAGACUACUUCAGAUGUAUAAUGAGCUACAGAAACGUUAUGUGAAAGAAACCAAAACAAACAAGGAGCAAAGUGAAGCAAUUAAAAAUCUCACUAUUAAAAUUAAUGAACUAGAGCAUAGUCUUCAAGAGCAGAGGCAAAAAAUUAAGCAACUGGAAUGUAAAAAGGUUUCUUGGAAAACUAGUGCUGCUUCUGGAAAACGAAGUCAAACCCCAGAGGGAGGCGUAACUUCUCACAGGGACAUUUCUGCAGAGAAGGAAGCCUGUUGCAGUAGAUAUUUAGAGCUAUUGUUGAAGAAGAUUAAAAAGCUGAAGAAAGAAAAUGGAAAGUUAUCUGCAGAAAAGAGAGCACUAAAAAAUGAAUUAGCUGGAUUAGACAAGGAUUUUUUUGAAGAGGUAGAAGAUCUAAAACAUGCUGUACAGGAAUCUGUGAAACUGAACAAUGAGUAUGAAAAGUGCUUGAAACAAAUAAGUGAAAUAUAUGGACUUCCUUUUACAGCACAUUUGUAACUACUGGGUAAUUUAAUGCCAGGUGGAGUUUCUACAUAUUUUUUAUAAUUACGGCAACAUUUAAACCUCCCAUUGCUUAAGUGGUACCGUAGUUUGAUAAUAUAGAUUCAGUAAUGUGAUCUCAAUAUGACAAGUUCUUGGAAAUGUUGUCUUUUGUGACCUUGAUUUUUUUUGUUUGUUUAUAUAUUUUUAAAUAAACUGUGAUCUCCAUAACUUCA